UGCAUCAGCCGGGAAUCGAACCCGGGCCACCCGCGUGGCAGGCGAGCAUUCUACCACUGAACCACCGAUGG
RNAcentral lists this transfer RNA (71 nucleotides) under Cordylochernes scorpioides. RNAcentral describes it as "tRNA-Gly". Lineage: Eukaryota; Metazoa; Arthropoda; Arachnida; Pseudoscorpiones; Chernetidae. The record is from RNAcentral.